AGAGUUUGAUCCUGGCUCAGAUUGAACGCUGGCGGCAUGCCUAACACAUGCAAGUCGAACGGAAACAGGACGCUAUGAUCUCUUCGGAGUGAAUUUGUCGCUGUCGAGUGGCGGACGGGUGAGUAAUGCAUAGGAAUUUGCCUUGAAGUGGGGGAUAGCCGGGAGAAAUCCGGAUUAAUACCGCAUAUGCUCUACGGAGCAAAGUGGGCCUCUGAUUUAAGCUCAUGCUUUGAGAUAAGCCUAUGUCGGAUUAGCUUGUUGGUAGGGUAAAAGCCUACCAAGGCGACGAUCCGUAGCUGGUUUGAGAGGAUGAUCAGCCACACUGGAACUGGAACACGGUCCAGACUCCUACGGGAGGCAGCAGUGAGGAAUUUUGCGCAAUGGGGGAAACCCUGACGCAGCAACGCCGCGUGAGUGAAGAAGGCUCUUGGGUCGUAAAGCUCUGUCAACUGGGAAGAAAUUAGUAAUGUUUAAUAGAUGUUGCUAUUGACGGUACCAGUGGAGGAAGCGCCGGCUAACUCCGUGCCAGCAGCCGCGGUAACACGGGGGGCGCAAGCGUUAUUCGGAAUUAUUGGGCGUAAAGGGCGCGUAGGCGGUCUUGUCGGUCAGGUGUGAAAGCCCGGGGCUCAACCCUGGAAGUGCACUUGAAACAGCAAGACUUGAGUACUGGAGAGGAAAGCGGAAUUCCUGGUGUAGAGGUGAAAUUCGUAGAUAUCAGGAGGAACACCGAUGGCGAAGGCAGCUUUCUGGACAGAUACUGACGCUGAGGCGCGAAGGCGUGGGUAGCGAACGGGAUUAGAUACCCCGGUAGUCCACGCAGUAAACGUUGUACACUCGGUGUGCCGGAUAUUAAAAUCUGGUGUGCCCAAGUUAACACAUUAAGUGUACCGCCUGGGGAGUACGGUCGCAAGACUAAAACUCAAAGGAAUUGACGGGGGCCCGCACAAGCGGUGGAGCAUGUGGUUUAAUUCAACGCAACGCGAAGAACCUUACCUGGGUUUGACAUCCUGUGAAUAUUGCGUAAUUGCAAUAGUGCCUUCGGGAGCACAGUGACAGGUGCUGCAUGGCCGUCGUCAGCUCGUGUCGUGAGAUGUUUGGUUAAGUCCAGCAACGAGCGCAACCCUUAUCUUUAGUUGCCAGCGCGUAAUGGCGGGAACUCUAGAGAGACUGCCCGGGUUAACCGGGAGGAAGGCGGGGAUGACGUCAAGUCCUCAUGGCCCUUAUAUCCAGGGCUACACACGUGCUACAAUGGUAAAUACAGAGGGCAGCGAGCCGGUGACGGCGAGCGAAUCCCUAAAGUUUAUCUCAGUCCGGAUUGGAGUCUGCAACUCGACUCCAUGAAGUUGGAAUCGCUAGUAAUCGCGGAUCAGCAUGCCGCGGUGAAUAUGUUCCCGGGCCUUGUACACACCGCCCGUCACACCAUGGGAGUUGAUUAUACCCGACGUCGCUGGGCUAACCCUUCGGGGGGGCAGGCGCCUAAGGUAUGGUUGAUAACUGGGGUGAAGUCGUAACAAGGUA
Molecule: ribosomal RNA, 1518 nt
Filed under: metagenome
Description: bacterial SSU rRNA
Rfam family: Bacterial small subunit ribosomal RNA
Source: RNAcentral